RNAcentral lists this long non-coding RNA (765 nucleotides) under Cyanistes caeruleus (blue tit). RNAcentral's name for it is "lncRNA (ENSCCEG00000002721.1)". The record is from RNAcentral. Lineage: Eukaryota; Metazoa; Chordata; Aves; Passeriformes; Paridae.
GAGGAGGGUGCGCUUCUUCAGCCUGGGAUGGGGGUUUGGGUGAGGAGGAGGAGGAGGAGGAGGAGGAGGAGGAGGGUUGUGCUUCCUCCGCCUGGGAUGUUGGAUGGUUGGAACGUGCUGCCUGAGCGGGGUGGAAAGGAGCGGGGAAAGGGAGACGAGGGGAUGCUUCCUCCUCUCCUCCUCCUCGCUUCCUCCUUUCUUCCUUGCCUCUUCUUACCUCUUCCUCACCUCCUCCUCCUAGUCUCUUCUUCUUCUUCCUCCUCACCACAUCCUCCUCCUCCUCUCCUUCCUCAUCUUUUCCUUCGUGCUUCCUUCUUGCCUCUUCCUUUUACUCCUUCUCACUCCUCCUUUUUCCUUCUUCCUCUUUUUCCCAUUCUUCUUUCCUCUUCUUUCCUCUUCUUCUUCUUCCUCCUCCUCUUCUGCUUCCUCCUCCUCCUCCUCGGUGCCUCUGAAGGAGCAGACUCGGAGAGCUGAUAAGGCCAGAGCCAGGGCGGGGCUGGAGCAGCGACCGAGGAGAAAUCACGUGAAAUUGGGGUGGGAAAACUGAAAUAGGGUAAAAUGAGGCGGGGGGGCGAAGGUUGGGAUCCAAAUGUGUAACGGGAAAGUGAUGGAGGAAAGAUUGGCUGGAGAAGGAAGGGAGGGAAGAAGGGUUGAGAUUAAAAAUUAUGCAAAGAAAAAUGAUGGAAGAAGGGCUGAGAUGUCCGGAAAGUGUUGGAAUGAAAAGUGGAAAAUAAAGGAAAAAAAGAGCAGGGAAGAAGGAAAAAG